This 460-nucleotide ribosomal RNA is filed under the name uncultured bacterium. Its description in RNAcentral is "partial 16S ribosomal RNA". It matches the Rfam family "Bacterial small subunit ribosomal RNA", at positions 338 to 795 of the family's 1533-position model. The record is from RNAcentral.
CCUACGGGUGGCAGCAGUGAGGAAUAUUGGUCAAUGGACGAGCGUCUGAACCAGCCAAGUAGCGUGAAGGAUGACUGCCCUAUGGGUUGUAAACUUCUUUUAUAUGGGAAUAAAAUGUUCCACGUGUGGGAUUUUGUAUGUACCAUAUGAAUAAGGAUCGGCUAACUCCGUGCCAGCAGCCGCGGUAAUACGGAGGAUCCGAGCGUUAUCCGGCUUUAUUGGGUUUAAAGGGAGCGUAGGUGGAUUGUUAAGUCAGUUGUGAAAGUUUGCGGCUCAACCGUAAAAUUGCAAUUGAAACUGGCAGUCUUGAGUACAGUAGAGGUGGGCGGAAUUCGUGGUGUAGCGGUGAAAUGCUUAGAUAUCACGAAGAACGCCGAUUGCGAAGGCAGUUCACUGGACUGCAACUGACACUGAGGCUCGAAAGUGUGGGUAUCAAACAGGAUUAGAUACCCUAGUAGUC